Molecule: ribosomal RNA, 460 nt
Filed under: uncultured bacterium
Lineage: Bacteria
Description: partial 16S ribosomal RNA
Rfam family: Bacterial small subunit ribosomal RNA
Source: RNAcentral
CCUACGGGAGGCAGCAGUGAGGAAUAUUGGUCAAUGGACGCAAGGCUGAACCAGCCAAGCCGCGUGAAGGAAGACUGCUCUAUGAGUUGUAAACUGCUUUUGUACGAGAGUAAACGCAGAUACGCGUAUCUGUCUGAGAGUAUCGGACGAAUAAGGAUCGGCUAACUCCGUGCCAGCAGCCGCGGUAAUACGGAGGAUGCAAGCGUUAUCCGGAUUUAUUGGGUUUAAAGGGUGCGUAGGCGGGCGGAUAAGUUAGAGGUGAAAUCCAGAGGCUCAACUUCGGAAUUGCCUUUGAUACUGUUCGGCUAGAGAGUAGUUGCGGUAGGCGGAAUGUAUGGUGUAGCGGUGAAAUGCUUAGAGAUCAUACAGAACACCGAUUGCGAAGGCAGCUUACCAAGCUCCUUCUGACGUUGAGGCACGAAAGCGUGGGUAGCAAACAGGAUUAGAUACCCGAGUAGUC